GUGUCAGCAGCCGCGGUAAUACGUAGGCAGCAAGCGUUGUUCGGAAUUACUGGGCGUAAAGAGUACGUAGGUGGUUUGCCAAGUCCGAUGUGAAAUCUCCUGGCUUAACUGGGAGGGUGCGUUAGAUACUGGCAGGCUUGAGUGUGGGAGAGGAGAGCGGAAUUCCUGGUGUAGCGGUGAAAUGCGUAGAUAUCAGGAGGAACGCCUGUGGUGUAGACGGCUCUCUGGACCAUUACUGACACUGAGGUACGAAAGCGUGGGUAGCAAACAGGAUUAGAUACCCUGGUAGUCC
RNAcentral lists this ribosomal RNA (292 nucleotides) under uncultured bacterium. Its description in RNAcentral is "partial 16S ribosomal RNA". It matches the Rfam family "Bacterial small subunit ribosomal RNA", at positions 505 to 796 of the family's 1533-position model. The record is from RNAcentral.